UACAGAGACUGCAAGCGUUAUUCGGAUUCACUGGGCGUAAAGGGUGCGCAGGCGGUUGAGUGUGUCAGAUGUGAAAUCCCGAGGCUUAACCUCGGAACUGCGUCUGAAACUACUCGACUAGAGUACUGGAGAGGGUAACGGAAUUCACGGUGUAGCAGUGAAAUGCGUAGAUAUCGUGAGGAACACCAGAGGCGAAGGCGGUUACCUGGACAGUUACUGACGCUCAGGCACGAAAGCAUGGGGAGCAAAAGGG
Molecule: ribosomal RNA, 253 nt
Filed under: uncultured bacterium
Lineage: Bacteria
Description: partial 16S ribosomal RNA
Rfam family: Bacterial small subunit ribosomal RNA
Source: RNAcentral